Long non-coding RNA from Miniopterus natalensis, 299 nucleotides. RefSeq lists it as uncharacterized. The record is from RefSeq and is a predicted model, not a curated record. Lineage: Eukaryota; Metazoa; Chordata; Mammalia; Chiroptera; Miniopteridae.
GCUCACCUUUCGUUCACCCUGUUGCUGGUGGAAACAGGAUUCUUUCAGGGUAUCGCAGGAAACGCAUUUCAAGGGGUCUCUGACGGGGGAGUUAGGCCGUGGGGGUGCGGGCUGUGAGCGCCCCCCUGGUGGUCUGCUGUUCUCUCCAGCCCCUUGGAGCUGCCCCACCUGCCAGGUUCAGAGCUGUGCUUUCUGAGCGUGACCUUGGGCAGCUGGACGUCCUGGGUCCUGAACCAGCUGCUUCAUCUGUAGGAGAGUUAAGAACCCCUUUCCAACAAACCUGCCUUCUCUCCUGUGAG